CAUCCCUUACACACACAGAAACACACAAUGCAUUCAUUACACACACUCAAUGCACCCCUUACACACAUUCAAUGCAUCCCAUACAUACACAGAAACACACCUUGCCGUCCUUACACAUACAAACACAAUUUCACACAAUGCAUUCCUUACACACAUAUCAGGACAUCCCCUACACACUCCACCACCUGUGAACAAACUCAUUGGUGGAACAUGAAGGUGGACCCUGGGACCCAGACCUUGAG
Pelobates cultripes (western spadefoot toad) is the source of this 242-nucleotide non-coding RNA. NCBI's taxonomy places the organism in Eukaryota, Metazoa, Chordata, Amphibia, Anura, Pelobatidae. The record is from the annotation of a GenBank genome assembly.